CUCUGUUUUACUCUUACACAUGUUCCACAGUUUCUUUUCUCAUAUAUGCUUUAUGUAUAGUGCAGUUCUUUACCCUUGCUAUUGUAGGGAAUUCAAACUGAGCCCGAUACCAGAACAUACAGAAGAAUCCUUGACUACUAGUGAGAGUGAUAUAAGAAGUGAUGAAAAAAAGAGAGAACACCAUACAAGGGAAAAGCAAUAAAAGGCGCAUUUUAUCAUGCUUCAGGUAAGAUAUUUGUGCAUUGACAACAAAAUUCUACUGGGCAAAACCGUUUUCUCCCUACUUGAUUUUGACUGUUUGGUACCUGUAUAAUCAUGUCAAUUUUGCUUUUUGUUGUAGAGUCCUCUUAAUCAUAGAAAAUUAUUCUUAGGUAUCGAUGUUGUUCUCAUAUAAGCCACUAAAUAGCGUAAAAUCUAUUGGAUG
RNAcentral lists this long non-coding RNA (424 nucleotides) under Phascolarctos cinereus (koala). RNAcentral describes it as "lncRNA (ENSPCIG00000033052.1)". The record is from RNAcentral. Lineage: Eukaryota; Metazoa; Chordata; Mammalia; Diprotodontia; Phascolarctidae.